GGGCUGAAGGGCAGCCCCUUAGAAAAUCGAUUCUUCUAAGUCUCUAUCAAGACAUGACCCCUUAUCAUGAUGAUGAUAUGCCGUUUCUGAACUGGGGGCGCUCAGACGGUAACCCGGUACAACGACAGGAACUGACCAAGGGCUGCCUGGUAACUGCAGUUCUCAAGAGACACACGUAUGUAUCUUUUGAGCUCGGCAGCAGGCGUCAAGAAGUAGUGUGUUGAUGUCUUUCGUUUCGAGCUUUGACCGUACGAUGAGAGCGGAGAGCCACAGGAUCCUUUCCGUCUAGGACUUCGUGUUCAUUUAGCGAGCUCUGUGAAGAAGAGAAGCUGCUCGUGGCUUAGGGAGGUACAAAGUCGGGUUGUUAUACGUUUACGAGAACGUCGAACCGGAACCAAAGCAUAACGAACGUCGUGUCAUACGUGGACCUUAACGUCGAGGAUCGAGUGUCACGGCCGCUGUCACACCUUUACAACUCUAUGGUAUGGGUAACCAUAGCUAGGUCCGACGAGCGAGUGUGUUCGGAAGCUGGAGUCGACACUCCAGGUUCUACCGUAGGGUUUCGGUAAGUCACCGCGGAAACUCCACGAGCUGUAAAGAAACCGAGUUCCGUGUCGGGCCCACGACUUAAUGUAGAACCCGAUGACGAUAUUGUGGAGGUGGCCCUCGUACCUCAUAAAACCGGUCAGGCCCCCCAAGUCACCUCUAGGAAGAAGAGGGAUGGCCGAGAGGCUGUGGGUCUUGUCCAAGUGCCAGUAGCCCACGUCGCGGGAGCGGAACUAUAGGCUGAUGCUACCGUGCCCGAUGGUCCCGAACCCGCAGCGUUGUACGGCGUUAAACAGUCUGAACCACCUGCCUAGGACGAGUCCAUACCCGACGAGGGUCUGGUGUUAUGGUUUCUCCUACAUAAUGAUGCUGUGUUGAAAGAGCGGUAGUCAAUUGUGUUCAGUUUAGACCCUCAAGUUGGCGACGUCGAUACGCCAUGAUUACCUCCGUCGCCGUAAACUCAAGUUGUGAUGCAUGCACUCGUGUUUGUUUAAGUUACUGUGUAUAUUGCCUGCCCACGGAUACUAAGAACUGACCCGAUAUUCUCUACACUUCAGUACACUAUGACGUUUUGUCUUAUGUUGGCCAUGAAUGCGUACGGAGUCGCGGUUGUCGUUCACACACCUAAGGUGGUUACUGGUUCCCAUGUGGACGUUAACGUGGUUACCAAUACUUCCGUUGGGAAUAGAAGUUCUGCCUACGUUUCUACAAUUACUUACGCUGGCGUUAGGUACGGGAAGUCUACCGAAAACAGCGUUAUAACAACCUUUUAUGGCAACAAGAACAGCUGAACCGUUUUUUAUACAGUGACUUUCGUUAUGUACGUUGGGAUUAUAGCCGAAGUAUUAUCCAUUGUAGGUUUGUUCACUCCAGUGGAUCGAUCUGGUAAUUGAAGCAGUGUGAAAAACGUUACGGUACUUUCGGUACCUAGAUUAGAACCAAUUACAUGAAAUUGAUACAAAAUGUGAUAAGUAGUGGAGUUAGAUUUUGUAUUAACAGAGUAGAUUGCUGUAAUAGUCCUCAAUGUUUACCCUAAUAAACCAAACUACCAAUAGCAGUACUAGUGAUAGAAGACCCCUGUUUACUAUUAAGUUUUCUCCUUUGACUUAUUUCAAUUCGUCCUCAUAAAGGCAUUCGUACCUCCGCACGAAAACAAACUAUUCUACUUUAGCCUCUUUCCAGACCGAAAGUUACAUAAAAGUCUUCGUCUUGAGUAUGUACGGUGGCUGUUGAAGCUGUCACCGUCUUAUUAACCUUUUCCUCCGGUACCCUGCCAAAUAUUUCCAUAUUAUUUCUUGUACGGCCAACGUUAAUUUUCUACACGUCAUCAACUGCUCUCUGUCUUCUUCCUUAAACCGGUCCUCUACGAGUAAAACAGGGUUUAGUUAGUGUUCUUGCAACAGUUUGAGAACCCAACAACGGAACUCCACCUUCAAGGUUAAGAUCAUAUACUCAAACAGGAUUUACCAUGUGAUAAACUCGAAUAGGUACCGUUCUUGGUUCGUAACCUUUAUAGAAAGUUGUGAGAGAAUUCCUAACGAGUACUUCGUCGACUUCCUGAGUCGAAGAACGUAAGCAUACGUAGAGGGGGUUAUUAAGUACCACUACACUUUUCAAGGUUGUAGGACGAACUACUAUUGAUGUACCGUUUUCACAGUCUGAAGCCUCGGAGGUAUGAUCGCGGUAGACUGUUUCUCGUUAAACAGUGUUACCAAGUUCCAUGAACGCCAAUGGAACUAGGGCUUAUAUACGUUUGUACGGUCAAUUGUCUGUUUUCGCUACACAUGUCAAAACCUCAAUAAGAAGAUCUCUAAGAGUGUCCGAUCGACGGUGACUUCGAACUCCCCAGACUCUUCGUUUCUUCGAACAGUAACUAAAAGAACAGACGUUACUUCCUCUUAUUAGAUCUUCGACACAACCACUUUGUGCACUUUCCGGUUCUCUCGUACCUCAACAACUCUCCUUAACGUCUGGACCGAUUCUCUACGGAUCUGUACACACCGUUGUUGUCUGGGAGGUACUUUCUCCAACGGCUACUUGAGUUGUCUAACUCUUUUGAAAGUGACGUAGGGACCCAUGUCGAGUCGCAGCUCUGUCCUCAUCUUUUGGAAGAACCUCCUCUAUGAUGACUACCCAUACUUUAUCUUAAUUCACCAAUGGGAUACCCGCUCUCACUCUUGGUCGGGUAUUUGGGAUCUUCAAGGAUAAUACGUUCCACUCUUUUUUGUACAUAACAUUAGCCAAUUUGGAUGACUUCUAUGAAUACAAGGAAGAUAUGGAACAAUGUUACACAUUAUAGAUGCAAGGAAGCCUUAGAACAAUGGUACAUAAUGUUGAAUAUUUAAUGUUUAGUGAAAAAUUAGAUAAGCUACACACUACAGACAAGUUG
This 2935-nucleotide ribosomal RNA is filed under the name Triticum aestivum (bread wheat). RNAcentral describes it as "partial small subunit ribosomal RNA". Lineage: Eukaryota; Viridiplantae; Streptophyta; Magnoliopsida; Poales; Poaceae. The record is from RNAcentral.